RNAcentral lists this ribosomal RNA (460 nucleotides) under uncultured bacterium. Its description in RNAcentral is "partial 16S ribosomal RNA". It matches the Rfam family "Bacterial small subunit ribosomal RNA", at positions 338 to 795 of the family's 1533-position model. The record is from RNAcentral.
CCUACGGGGAGCAGCAGUGAGGAAUAUUGGUCAAUGGGCUUACGCCUGAACCAGCCAAGUCGCGUGAGGGAAGACUGCCCUAUGGGUUGUAAACCUCUUUUGUCAGGGAGCAACGCCGGCUACGUGUAGCCGGACUGAGCGUACCUGAAGACAAAGCAUCGGCUAACUCCGUGCCAGCAGCCGCGGUAAUACGGGGGAUGCGAGCGUUAUCCGGAUUUGUUGGGUUUACAGGGUGCGUAGGCGGAAUGCCAAGUCAGCGGGAAAAUCGCGGGGCUCAACCUCGCUCCGCCGUUGAAACUGGCGGUCUUGAGUGGGCGAGAAGGAUGCGGAAUGCGUGGUGUAGCGGUGAAAUGCAUAGAUAUCACGCAGAACUCCGAUUGCGAAGGCAGCAUACCGGCGCCCAACUGACGCUGAAGCACGAAAGCGUGGGGAUCGAACAGGAUUAGAUACCCGAGUAGUC